GACGUAGGGUCCGAGCGUUGUCCGGAGUUACUGGGCGUAAAGGGCGCGUAGGCGGUUCGUACAGUCAGACGUGAAAUUCCCGGGCUCAACCUGGGGGCUGCGUUUGAUACGUGCGGGCUUGAGUUCGGAAGAGGGUCGUGGAAUUCCCAGUGUAGAGGUGAAAUUCGUAGAUAUUCGCAAGAACACCAGUGGCGAAGGCGGCUCGCUGGCCCGGUACUGACGCUGAGGUGCGAAAGCGUGGGGAGCAAACAGG
This 253-nucleotide ribosomal RNA is filed under the name uncultured bacterium. RNAcentral's name for it is "partial 16S ribosomal RNA". It matches the Rfam family "Bacterial small subunit ribosomal RNA", at positions 524 to 776 of the family's 1533-position model. The record is from RNAcentral.